This 184-nucleotide ribosomal RNA is filed under the name uncultured Acinetobacter sp. RNAcentral's name for it is "partial 16S ribosomal RNA". It matches the Rfam family "Bacterial small subunit ribosomal RNA", at positions 1199 to 1382 of the family's 1533-position model. The record is from RNAcentral. Lineage: Bacteria; Pseudomonadati; Pseudomonadota; Gammaproteobacteria; Moraxellales; Moraxellaceae.
CCGUCUCGGCCUGGGCUACACACGUGCUACAAUGGUCGGUACAAAGGGUUGCUACCUAGCGAUAGGAUGCUAAUCUCAAAAAGCCGAUCGUAGUCCGGAUUGGAGUCUGCAACUCGACUCCAUGAAGUCGGAAUCGCUAGUAAUCGCGGAUCAGAAUGCCGCGGUGAAUACGUUCCCGGGCCUU